This is a non-coding RNA of Schistosoma haematobium, 45 nucleotides long. The record is from Rfam. Lineage: Eukaryota; Metazoa; Platyhelminthes; Trematoda; Strigeidida; Schistosomatidae.
CAAUACUGAAGAGUCCCACGAUAGGACGAAACGGCCGUCCAGUGC